Molecule: ribosomal RNA, 940 nt
Filed under: uncultured archaeon
Lineage: Archaea
Description: bacterial SSU rRNA
Rfam family: Archaeal small subunit ribosomal RNA
Source: RNAcentral
UUCCGGUUGAUCCUGCCGGACCCCACUGCUAUCGGGAUAGGACUAAGACAUGCUAGUCGAGUGAUUCAGGCAAAACGAGUCACGGCACACAGCUCAGUAACACGUGGCUAAUCUGCCCUUAGGACGAGAACAACCCCGGGAAACUGGGGCUAACUCUCGAUAGGUGAAGAACUCUGGAAUGAGUCUUUACCUAAAUAGUGCAACGUUAUCCUCGUUGCAUCGCCUAAGGAUGAGGCCGCGACCGAUCAGGUUGUUGGCGAGGUAAUGGCUCACCAAGCCUUUUACCGGUGCGGGCCGUGAGAGCGGGAGCCCGGAGAUGGGCACUGAGACAAGGGCCCAGGCCCUACGGGGCGUAGCAGUCGCGAAAACUUUGCAAUAAGCGAAAGCUUGACAGGGCUAUCCCGAGUGCCAUCCGCUGAGGAAGGCUUUUACCCAGUCUAGAACGCUGGGGGAAUAAGGAGAGGGCGAGUCUGGUGUCAGCCGCCGCGGUAAUACCAGCUCUCCGAGUGGUGUGGAUGUUUAUUGGGCCUAAAGCAUCCGUAGCUGGCUAGGUCAGUCCCUUGUUAAAUCCACCGAAUUAAUCGUUGGAUUGCGGGGGAUACUGCUUGGCUAGGGGACGAGAGAGGCAGACGGUAUUUUCGGGGUAGGGGUGAAAUCCUAUAAUCCCGGGAAGACCACCAGUGGCGAAGGCUGUCUGCUAGAACGCGCCCGACGGUGAGGGAUGAAAGCUGGGGGAGCGAACCGGAUUAGAUACCCGGGUAGUCCCAGCUGUAAACGAUGCAGACUAGGUGUUUGGACGGCCACGUGCCGUUCUAGUGCCGCAGGGAAGCUGUUAAGUCUGCCGCCUGGGGAGUACGAUCGCAAGAUUGAAACUUAAAGGAAUUGGCGGGGGAGCACCACAAGGGGUGAAGCUUGCGGUUUAAUUGGAUUCAACGCCGGA